RNAcentral lists this transfer RNA (73 nucleotides) under Xylanimonas cellulosilytica DSM 15894. RNAcentral describes it as "tRNA-Thr (CGT) (tRNA-Thr-CGT-1-1)". It matches the Rfam family "tRNA". From Rfam's summary of the family: Transfer RNA (tRNA) molecules are approximately 80 nucleotides in length. Their secondary structure includes four short double-helical elements and three loops (D, anti-codon, and T loops). The record is from Rfam by way of RNAcentral. Lineage: Bacteria; Bacillati; Actinomycetota; Actinomycetes; Micrococcales; Promicromonosporaceae.
GCCGCCUUAGCUCAGUCGGCAGAGCGAGUAACUCGUAAUUACUAGGUCGGGAGUUCGAUUCUCCCAGGCGGCU